CCUACGGGAGGCAGCAGUGAGGAAUAUUGGUCAAUGGGCGCGAGCCUGAACCAGCCAAGUCGCGUGAGGGAGGACGGCCCUACGGGUUGUAAACCUCUUUUGCCGGGGAGCAACGGUCGCCACGUGUGGCGUCACGGAGAGGACCCGGAGAAAAAGCAGCGGCUAACUCCGUGCCAGCAGCCGCGGUACUACGGAGGAUGCGAGCGUGAGCAGGAUUUAUUGGGUUUAAAGGGUGCGUAGGCGGAUCGGUAAGUCAGUGGUCCAAUUGCGGGGCUCAACCCCUGCCCGCCGUUGAAACUGGCGUUCUUGAGUGGGCGAGCAGUCUGCGGAAUGCGUGGUGUAGCGGU
This 347-nucleotide ribosomal RNA is filed under the name uncultured bacterium. RNAcentral's name for it is "partial 16S ribosomal RNA". It matches the Rfam family "Bacterial small subunit ribosomal RNA", at positions 338 to 682 of the family's 1533-position model. The record is from RNAcentral.